RNAcentral lists this ribosomal RNA (518 nucleotides) under uncultured bacterium. RNAcentral's name for it is "partial 16S ribosomal RNA". It matches the Rfam family "Bacterial small subunit ribosomal RNA", at positions 355 to 866 of the family's 1533-position model. The record is from RNAcentral.
UGGGGAAUUUUGGACAAUGGGGGAAACCCUGAUCCAGCCAUCCCGCGUGUGCGAUGAAGGCCUUCGGGUUGUAAAGCACUUUUGGCAGGAAAGAAACGUCGCGGGUUAAUACCCCGCGAAACUGACGGUACCUGCAGAAUAAGCACCGGCUAACUACGUGCCAGCAGCCGCGGUAAUACGUAGGGUGCAAGCGUUAAUCGGAAUUACUGGGCGUAAAGCGUGCGCAGGCGGUUCGGAAAGAAAGAUGUGAAAUCCCAGAGCUUAACUUUGGAACUGCAUUUUUAACUACCGGGCUAGAGUGUGUCAGAGGGAGGUGGAAUUCCGCGUGUAGCAGUGAAAUGCGUAGAUAUGCGGAGGAACACCGAUGGCGAAGGCAGCCUCCUGGGAUAACACUGACGCUCAUGCACGAAAGCGUGGGGAGCAAACAGGAUUAGAUACCCUGGUAGUCCACGCCCUAAACGAUGUCAACUAGCUGUUGGGGCCUUCGGGCCUUGGUAGCGCAGCUAACGCGUGAAGUU